AUUGCUUCUGAGCCUAUUGGUAAAGAUCAAAUGUCGUAUGUGUUCUUAUCAGUUUAGUAUCUGAUGUGUCCUCUACUUGAUGACAAUUUGUUGAAUGGAUUUUUGGAGCUGGCUGAAGCACUAACUUUCUGUUUCCACUCCACGCAUCAACCUGGUACUGACGUUAUACCAGGAAUGGUGCAACAACA
Small nuclear RNA from Cavia aperea (Brazilian guinea pig), 188 nucleotides. Its record names the gene U2. It matches the Rfam family "U2 spliceosomal RNA". Rfam says of the family: U2 is a small nuclear RNA (snRNA) component of the spliceosome (involved in pre-mRNA splicing). Complementary binding between U2 snRNA (in an area lying towards the 5' end but 3' to hairpin I) and the branchpoint sequence (BPS) of the intron results the bulging out of an unpaired adenosine, on the BPS, which initiates a nucleophilic attack at the intronic 5' splice site, thus starting the first of two transesterification reactions that mediate splicing. The record is from Ensembl. Lineage: Eukaryota; Metazoa; Chordata; Mammalia; Rodentia; Caviidae.